RNAcentral lists this ribosomal RNA (446 nucleotides) under uncultured bacterium. Its description in RNAcentral is "bacterial SSU rRNA". It matches the Rfam family "Bacterial small subunit ribosomal RNA", at positions 330 to 792 of the family's 1533-position model. The record is from RNAcentral.
ACCAGACUCCUACGGGAGGCAGCAGUGGGGAAUAUUGCACAAUGGGGGAAACCCUGAUGCAGCGACACCGCGUGGGUGAGGAAGCGCUUCGGCGUGUAAAGCCCUAUCAGUGGGGAAGAAAAAGGACGGUACCCAAAGAAGAAGCACCGGCUAACUACGUGCCAGCAGCCGCGGUAAUACGUAGGUGGCAAGCGUUAUCCGGAUUUACUGGGUGUAAAGGGCGAGUAGGCGGGAUUGCAAGUCAGAUGUGAAAACUAUGGGCUCAACCGAUAGAGUGCAUUUGAAACUGCAGUUCUUGAGUGAUGGAGAGGCAGGCGGAAUUCCCGGUGUAGCGGUGGAAUGCGUAGAUAUCGGGAGGAACACCAGUGGCGAAGGCGGCCUGCUGGACAUUAACUGACGCUGAGGCGCGAAAGCGUGGGGAGCAAACAGGAUUAGAUACCCGGGUA